RNAcentral lists this long non-coding RNA (250 nucleotides) under Olea europaea (common olive). RNAcentral's name for it is "long non-coding RNA (OEUR_LNC001098)". The record is from RNAcentral. Lineage: Eukaryota; Viridiplantae; Streptophyta; Magnoliopsida; Lamiales; Oleaceae.
AAAACACGAAAAACGGGAGAGAGAAAACCAUUCAAGUCGUGUCUCUUCCGACUCCUUUUCUCUCUUCCUUCAAUCGUAUCUAUCUCCUCCCUUCUCGAUGCCGACUCCGACUUACCUGCACCAUUCGAAUUAUAGCUUUCCCCAUGAACACGACGCUACAACUAGGAUUUUCUAUUAGGGUAUUCAUUUCUCCUCUGACGACAUUGUUUGAGCCUCUCGCCUUCUUGACAAUGAAAUUCGAAUACUCAAG